RNAcentral lists this ribosomal RNA (387 nucleotides) under Stramenopiles sp. MAST-7A. RNAcentral describes it as "partial small subunit ribosomal RNA". It matches the Rfam family "Eukaryotic small subunit ribosomal RNA", at positions 582 to 974 of the family's 1831-position model. The record is from RNAcentral.
AUUCCAGCUCCAAUAGCGUAUAUUAAAGUUGUUGCAGUUAAAAAGCUCGUAGUUGGAUUUCUGGUGGGAGCACGGGUCGGCCUUCACGGGUUGUACUGUUGUUGCGUCCUGCCGUUUCGGAGGGAAUGGUCAUGUUAUUAGGUUAGCGUGAUCGGAAACUCUGUCGUUUACUGUGAUAAAAUUAGAGCGUUCAAAGCAGGCCUUCGCUGUGAAUACAUUAGCAUGGAAUAAUAAGAUAGGACUGUAGUGCUAUUUUGUUGGUUUGCGUACUAUGGUAAUGAUUAAUAGGGAUAGUUGGGGGUAUUCAUAUUCAAUUGUCAGAGGUGAAAUUCUUGGAUUUAUGGAAGAUGAACUACUGCGAAAGCAUUUACCAAGGAUGUUUUCAUU